Molecule: non-coding RNA, 119 nt
Organism: Podospora didyma
Lineage: Eukaryota; Fungi; Ascomycota; Sordariomycetes; Sordariales; Podosporaceae
Source: the annotation of a GenBank genome assembly
GGCUGGAUGUCCGAGCGGUCUAAGGAGCCAGACUCAAGAUCGUAAAACAUCUUAUUCUCCCAAAAGAGAAUCGCAUUCUGGUCUCGAAAGAGGCGCGCGUUCGAAUCGCGCUCCAGUCA